Molecule: long non-coding RNA, 863 nt
Filed under: Gallus gallus (chicken)
Lineage: Eukaryota; Metazoa; Chordata; Aves; Galliformes; Phasianidae
Description: lncRNA (ENSGALG00010028336.1)
Source: RNAcentral
UUUAGAUGAUAGUCGCUUUGGCACAAACCCCAAACUUCUUUAACGUCUCAAUGUAGCUUCCCUAGAGGCACCAAUGUAACCCUAGAGACCAUUUUGCUCAGAAUGCUCUGUGUCCCGCUGACCACAGCCUGCCUCGUUCCUUUCCAUCCUGGUCUUGGUGCUCCCUACUGAGUGUACAGACAACGUGCUGCCUUUUGGGCAGGGCAGAAAGCUGAGCUAUCCUCCACCAUUUCAGGUUUUAGCGUGGCUGUGAGAUGAAUCUGAUCCAGCAUCUGGCCAAACUCAGGGACCAACGCACUGAUCGGCUGUUCCCUAUGACUGCAGUGUGUCAGCACUCAAGCUGGGAAAGUUUGAGGGCACGUGUUUCCUAUCCCUCUGCCUAUGGACCUAAGAGCAGAGACUGAUAGGGAUCGAUAUUCAGAAAGGAGCGCAGUUUGGCAGAGGAUGCCAAAGGAGCCUGCUGAGCGUGGCCACAGAUGAUCCCAGCUGAGCGUGGCCACUCACAAACUGAAGAGAACCUCUGUGCUGUGUCAUCAAUUGGAGCUGCAAUAAAUGAUCCUAUAUCAAGCACUGUGCUUUUCAUUCCUCAAAAUGACUUACAAAGUGAGGUAUUCUGAUGGCAUGACUGCAUCACGUGAAUCGGAGCAACUUUUGGAACAAAAAAAAGGGAGUGUAUCUCUAAACCUGAUGGCUGCAGAAUGGGAGGCUUGCAAAUGAGUCCAACACGCGCCAUUAGACCUGGGAAGUCAGGACGAACCACAGAGAAGCUAUGAUGUGUGCAGACAUGCGUGCAGCAAUUUUACAACAGAUAGAGUCGAUCCACCCCGAAGAUGAUGUAUGAUGUGGUUGUGUUCUCUGCCUUG